RNAcentral lists this ribosomal RNA (497 nucleotides) under uncultured bacterium. RNAcentral's name for it is "partial 16S ribosomal RNA". It matches the Rfam family "Bacterial small subunit ribosomal RNA", at positions 28 to 507 of the family's 1533-position model. The record is from RNAcentral.
GAUGAACGCUGGCGGCGUGCCUAAUACAUGCAAGUCGAACGAACAGACGAUGAGCUUGCGCCUCUGACGUGAGCGGCGCACGUGUGAGUAACGCGUGGAUAAUCUACCUAUAAUACGGGUAAAACUUCGGAAAACGGGAGCAUAUACCGUAGAAGAUAUUGAACCGCAGUGGUCAAUAGUGAAAGACGGCUGUUGGGGCAGGUAUAGAUGCAUCUCGGCCGGAUUAGCGGGUUGUUAAGUUAACGGGUUACGAAGGCAACGAGGCGUAGCCGACCUGAGAGGGUGAUAGGCCACACUGGAACUGAGACACGGUCAAGACUCCUGAGGGAGGCAGCAGUCGGGAAUCUUACGCAAUGGGCGAGAGCUUGACGGAGUAACGCCGCGUGAGUGAUGAAGGUCUUCGGAUCGUAAAACUCUGUUAUUAGGGAAGAACCAAUGUGUAAGUAACUAUGCCCGUAUUGACGGUAACUAAUCAGAAAGCAACGGCUAACUACGUG